GAACUGAAGAGUUUGAUCCUGGCUCAGAUUGAACGCUGGCGGCAUGCCUUACACAUGCAAGUCGAACGGUAACGCGGGGCAAC
This 83-nucleotide ribosomal RNA is filed under the name Rubrivivax sp. Its description in RNAcentral is "partial 16S ribosomal RNA". It matches the Rfam family "Bacterial small subunit ribosomal RNA", at positions 1 to 83 of the family's 1533-position model. Lineage: Bacteria; Pseudomonadati; Pseudomonadota; Betaproteobacteria; Burkholderiales; Sphaerotilaceae. The record is from RNAcentral.